RNAcentral lists this ribosomal RNA (254 nucleotides) under uncultured bacterium. Its description in RNAcentral is "partial 16S ribosomal RNA". It matches the Rfam family "Bacterial small subunit ribosomal RNA", at positions 524 to 776 of the family's 1533-position model. The record is from RNAcentral.
UACGGGGGGGACAAGCGUUGUUCGGAAUUACUGGGCGUAAAGGGUGCGCAGGCGGUCUCGUAAGCUGGGUGUGAAAGCCCCGGACUUAACCUGGGAAUGGCAUUCAGGACUGCGAGGCUUCGAGUGCGGCAGAGGGAGGUGGAAUUCCACGUGUAGCAGUGAAAUGCGUAGAGAUGUGGAGGAACACCGAUGGCGAAGGCAGCCUCCUGGGCCAGCACUGACGCUCAUGCACGAAAGCGUGGGGAGCAAACAGG